CAGCUUUCUUGUUAAAUGAGGUAACUAUUUUUAUUGUUUAAACAGCUUAGCAAUUUGACAGUCUGUUACUUGUACCUGAAAGCAUCUUUAUUUUAUUAUCAUUAUUUUUUGAGAGAGAGUCUCACUCUAUCACCCAGGCUGGAGUGCAGUGGCAAGAUGGCUCACUGCAACCUCCAUCUCCUGGGUUUCAAACGAUUCUGGAGCCUCAGCCGCCAACGUAGCUGGAAUUACAGGUAUGUGCCACCACACCCAGCUAAUUUUUGUAAUUUUAGUAGAGAUGGGGUUUUGCCAUGUUGGCCAGGCUAGUCUCAAACUCCCGGCCUCAAGUGAUUCAUCUACCUUGGCCUCCCAAAGUGCUGGAAUUACAGAUGUGAGUCACUGCGCCAGCCUUUUAAAUUUUUUUUCUUUCUAGAGACAGGGUCUUGCUCUGUGGCCCAGGCAUGACCAUAGCUCACUUCAGCCUCAAACUCCUGGGCUCAAGUGAUCCUCCUGCCUCAGUCUCCCAAGUAGCUAGGACUAUCUAUGCACACCACCACAGCUGACUAAUUUUUAUUUUUUUAUUUCUGUGGAGAUGGGGGUCUUGCUAUGUUGCUCAGGCUGGUCUGAAACUCCUGGCCUGAAGCAAUCCUGCCUCUACCUCCCAAAAUGUUGGGAUUACAGGCGUGGAGCCACCAUGCCCAGCCAUGAAAGCAUUUUUGACUGAUACCCUGCCACACUGGAACUGGAAAAAACACCUCCUCCCAAAGAAGUUUAAAACUGUUGGCCAUGAAAAGAGCUGAGGCCCUAUAGAAGAGUGGAAGAGUAUGAGUUUGUGUUCCAGUCUUACCCUCCAGAACUUAAUAGCCACCUGCCUUUGAACAAGAGCUUAACUUCUCUGAGCCUCCAUUUACUCAUCUGACCACUGCCAGGCACAUUGACCUACAUGUAUAAUAGGGAUAAUUUUUUUUUUUUUUUUUUUUUUUUUUGAGAAAGAGUCUUGUUCUGUCGCCUGGGCUGGAGUGCAGACGCGUGAUCUCGGCUCACUGCAACCUCUGACUCCUGGAUUCAAGCAAUUCUCGUGUCUCAGCCUCCCAAGUAGCUGGGAUUACAGGUGUGCACCACUAUGCCUGGAUGAUUUUUGUAUUUUUAGUAGAGACAGGGUUUCACCACGUUAGCCAGGCUGGUCUCGAACUGCUGACCUCAGGGGAUCCACCCACCUCAUCAUCCCAAAGUGCUGGGAUUACAGGUGUGAGCCACUACAUCUGGCCUAUAAAUCUGUUUUUAGAAGGAGGGUUUGGGGAAUAUUUUUUAAAAUAAAAGCUUCUAGCAAGCCUCCUACACCAUCCCAAUCAAUCUCUAUGCUUUUUUUUUUGUUUUUUUUUUUAAAACAAAAAAAAAGGAGGCCAGGUGCAGUGGCUCACACCUGUAAUCCCAGCGUUUUGGGAGGCUGAAGUGGACAGAUCACUUGACCCCAGGAGUUUGAGACCAGUCUGGGCAAAAUGGUGCUACCCUGUCUCUACAACAAAAAUACAAAAAUUAGCUGGGUGUGGUGGUGCACACCUGUGGUCCCAGCUACUGGGGAGGCUAAGGUGGGUGGAUCACCUGAGCCUGGGGAGGUCAAGGCUCCAGUAAGCUGUGAUCACGUCACUGCACUUCAGCCUGGAUGACAGAGUGAGAUUCUGUUUAAGAAAAAAAAAAAAAAAGUCAGGGGGAAAGAAAAAUAAAGAAAACCAGAGGCCAGGGAUGGUGGCUCAUGCCUGUAAUCCCAGCAUUUUGGAAGGCUGAGGCGGGCAGAUGAUGAGUUCAGGAGAUUGAGACCAUCCUGGCCAACAUGGUGAAACCCCAUCUCUACUAAAAAUACAAAAAAAGAGCCAAGCAUGGUGGCAGGCGCCUGUAGUCCCAACUACUCGGGAGGCUGAGGCAGGAGAAUCGCUUGAACCUGGGAGGCAGAGGUUGCAGUGAGCCCAGAUCAUGCCACUGCACUCCAGCCUGGGUGACAGAGCGAGACUCCGUCUCAAAAAAAAAAAAGAAAAUCAGAAGCCCUGCUGUCUGUCUGUACCCGAGCCCUUCCACCAGGAAAGCAAGUCUAGGUGUGAGAUCUCACACUGUCUUUGUAGCCAUCUAAAAACAAUAAUAAUAACAAACUGGACAGUAUACAAUAAUAAAUAAAUAAAUAAAAAUGGGCAGAGGACUUGAAUAUCCAAAGAAGAUAAACAGUCCAGGCACAAUGGCUCUUGCCUGUAAUUUUAGUACUUUGGGAGGCCAAGGCAGGUGGAUCACUUGAGGUCAUGUGUUCAAGACCAGCCUGGCCAACAUGGUGAGACCCCAUCUCUACUAAAAAUAUAAAAAUUAGCCGGGCGUGGUGGCAUGCACCUGUAGUCCCAGCUACUCGGGAGGCUGAGGCAGGAGAAUCACUUGAACCCAGGAGGUGAAGGUUGCAGUGAGCCAAGAUCACGUCAUUGCACUCCAGCCUGAGCGACAGAGCAAGACUCUGUCUCAAAAAACAAACAAACAAACAGGAAAACAAAAACAAAGAAGAUAAACAAAUGGCCAACAAGCACAUGAAAAGAUGCUCAAUAUACUUAGUCAUUAAGGAAAUGCAAAUCAAAACCACAAUGAGAUAUCACUUCCCAUCCACUAGGAUGACUAUAAUCCAAAAACCAGAAAAUAACCAGUACUGGUGAGAUGUGGAGAAAUUGAAACCCUUGCAUAUUACUGGAUGGAAUGAUAAAUGGGAGUUACUAUGGAAAACAGUAACUGUUUUGGGCCUGGUGCAAUGGCUCAUGCCAGUAAUCCUAGCACUUUGGGAGGCCGAGGUAGAAGGAUCACUUGAGGUCAGACUGGGCAACAUGAUGAAACCCUGUCUGUACCAAAAAAAAAAGUAUAUAUAUACUUAUAUAUAUAAUAUAAUAUAUAUAUAUAUAUAAAAGCUGAGUGUGGUGGCAUGUGCCUGUAGUCCCAGCUACUCAGGAGGCUGAGGUGGGAGAAUUACUUGAGCCCAGGGGGUUAAGUCUGCAGUGAGCCAUGAUCAUAUCACUGCAUUCUAGCCUGAGCAACAGAGAGAGAGCCUGUCUCAAAAAAUAAAUUAAUUAAAUUAAAAAAUAAAAGAAUGGGCCGGGUGUGGUGGCUCACACCUGCAAUCCUGGCACUCUGGGAGGCCGAGGUGGGUGGAUCACCUGAGGUCAGGAGUUCGAGACCAGCCUGGCCAACAUGGUGAAACCCCGUCUCUACUAAAAAUACAAAACAUUAGCCGGGCGUUGUGGCAGGUGCCUGUAAUCCCAGCUACUUGAGAAGUUGAGGCAGGAGAAUCACUUGAACCCGGGAGGCAGAGGUUGCAGUGAGCUGAAAUCACACUAUUGCACUCCAGCCUGGGCAAGAAGAGUGAAACCCCGUCUCAAAAAAAAAAAAAAAAAAGAAAGAAAAAAGGAAUGAUACAGGCUACAAUGUGGAUGAACUCUGAAAACAUGCUCAGUGAAAGAAGCCAGACACAAAAUGUCACGUAUUAAAUGAUUGCGUUUAUAUGUAAUAUCCAGAAUAGGUAAAUCUAUAUAGAGAGAAUGCAGAUUAGUGGUUGUUAGGGACUCAGGAGAGUGGGGAGUGACUGCUCAAUGGAUAUGGGGUCUAUUUUGGGGGUGAUGAAAACGUUUUGAAACUGGAUAGAUAUUACGGUUGCAUAACAUUGUGAAUGAACAAAAUGCCACUGAAUAGCGCAUUUUUUAAGUUUAUUUUGAAACAAGGUCUCUGGCGGGAGGUGGAGAAUGCUAAGAUUUUUUCGAUAUCAUUUUGUGUUAGAGUACAAAUUGCACUCUGCCAUCCAGCCAGAAGUGCAGUGGCGCAAUCUCAGCCCACUGCAACCUCCACUCCCCCGGUUCAAGUGCUCCUCCUGCUUCAGCCUCCUGAGUAGCUGGGACUACAGGUGUGUGCCACCACGCCUGGCUAAUUUUUGUAUUUUUAGUAGAGAUGGGAUCUCACCAUUUUGGCCAGGCUGGUUUCGAACUCCUGGCCUCAAACGAUCCACCCACCUCGGCCUCCCAAAGUGCUGGGAUUACAGACAUGGGCCACUGUGCCUUGUCUGAACAGUACAUUUUGAAAUGGCUAAUUUUAUGUUUGUGAAAUUUGUCUCAAUAAAAAUAGAAACAUACAUAAUGAGAGGUCAUUCAUGUACAUCCAGUCAUAUUGCUUUUUUAUCUGAUUUAGUGUUGUCUUCAUGUCAUCACCCUCUCCCUAGGAACUUGGUACAAGAUCCUGGGCCUGGAGCUAGGGUAGAAGGCGAUUUGACAGCAUCGCCCAGGGCUGCCUCCAGUUCCCCCCGCCCCUCCGAUCCCCCAGCAAGUGAGGAAAACUGCUCCUCCAGGAGAGCUCUUCCACCUGGUACCUGCCGAGGAGAAUUACUGUGUUCAUUAAUCAGGGCUCUUUGUGGCAAGGAACAGAAGUACCUACUGGCUGAUUAAGCAGAAAAGGAUGUUAGCUCACAGAAUUUUGUUUUUUUUUGAAACAGGAUCUCACUCUGUCUUCCAGGCUGGAGUGCAAUGGUGCGAGCAGGGCCAAGUAAUUCUCCCACCUCAGCCUCCCCAGAAGCUGGGACUAGAGGCGUGCACCACAUACCUGGCUAAUUUUUUUUAUUUUCAGUAGAGAUGGGAUCUUGCCGUGUUGUCCAGCCUGGUCUCAACCUCCCGGGCUCAAGUGAUCCUCCUGCCUUGGCCUCCCAAUGCGCUGAGAUUACAGGGUGAACCAUUGUGCCCAGCUCACAGAAUUUUUGAGGGGCUGGAGGACCUGGCUGUAGGCGAAGCUCCCAGGAUCAAUGCCCCCCAGAUAGCCACAGAAACAGCUGUUAAGCAAAAUGCUACCACUGCUGCUGCUCCUGUGGGACAUUUCUGCACCCAGGAUUUCACCCUAAAGCUGAGCAUCCUGCCGCCACUCCACCACACAGAGCCUCCUUCUUGAGUUCACACUUCCUUUUCCUCGUUUCAGUGGGACUUGCCUGCUUGAUGGGUCCGGAUCACAUGCCAGUGCCUGAGCUGCAAGGAAGCCUGGGAAGCCAACAUUUCUGGAUUUCACCAUGGGGAGAUGGGGCUCGUAGGGCUGGACAUUUCUCAAAUAUAGGAAGGGGUUGAAAAUAUGGUGGGUGAUAUGGUUCGGCUGUGUCCCCACCCAAAUCUCAUCUUGAAUUCUCACGUAUUGAGAGAGGGACCUGGUGGGAGGUAAUUGAAUCAUGAGGGCAAGUCUUUCCCAUGCUGUUCUCGUGAUCGUGAAUAAGUCUCAUGAGAUCUGCCAGUUUUAUAAAGAGGAGUUCCCCUGCACAAGCUCUCUCUCUCUUUGCCUGCUGCUAUCCACGUAAAAUGUGACUUGCGCCUCCUUGCCUUCUGCCAUGAUUGUGAGGCCUCCUCAGCCCUGUGGAACUGUAAGUCCAUCAAACCUCUUUGUUUUUUUGGUAAAUUGCCCAGUCUCAGGUAUGUCUUAUUUAUUUAUGUAUGUAUUUGUUUGUUUAUUUUUGAGACACAGUCUCAUUCUGUCACCAGGCUGGAGUGCAGUGGCAUGAUCUUGGCUCGCUUCAACCUCUACCUCCCAGGUUCAAACAAUUCUCCUGCCUCAGCCUCCUGAGUAGCUGGGAUUACAGGCACGUGCCACCACAGCUGGCUAAUUUUUGCAUUUUCAGUAGAGACCAGGGUUUCACCAUGUUGGCCAGGCUGGUCUUGAACUCCUGAUCUCAAGUGAUCCACCCACCUCAGGCUCCCAAUCAGGUAUGUCUUUAUCAGCAGUGUGAAAACAGACUAGUACAGUGGGUGUACAGAAAAUACAUGAUAGAGAGACAGCAUUUAUUAUUCCUCACUUGUUGGAAGGACCCUACGCAACCCUAGCUCAUUUGACAAUGUCCCUCUCAUUAUAUACCCUGGGCCUUUUGCAUAUAGAGACAGCCCUGGUUUUUGACUGUCCAGAACCUUUAUAUCUGCUUCUCCCCAAAACAGAGAGGCCUCAUACAUCUGUCAGUAAUAAAGCCCACCCUCUCGUAUUUACGAGGUAGAUAAGUAAUUGAGACUGAAAUGCCACUGUAUUCCAUUUCCCUGACCACAGUGAUUGAUUCAGAGGGAAGCCUAUGACAAAAACAGUGCCAGUCAGAAUGUUCCCUGGCAUUGAUAUAAUGACGCUGGGGAAAGAGCAACUCUCUUUUGCCCUGGGGUUGUUAAACUGGGAGGAAGAAACUAUUUGCAGUGGGAGAAAAUUAGGUCAGCCUAGAGUGAAGCAGAGAUGAGAGAUGGUGAGACAGCCAGGAAAAUAUGGUUUCAUCUUUUGGAUCAAGCUAAGCCUGAAGUCAUUACAUCUCUCGUUUUUAAUUACACGAGCCAAUAAGUUCCUUUCUAAAGCUUCAGUGAGUUGGAGUUGGAUUUCUCUCACAACCGAGUAUUCGUGAUCAACCACCCUCUCCCUAAUGGGAAAUUUACUAUGAGGCACUUUUCUUUCCACUGUCUCAUUUGAUAGUAGAUUUGAAAGUUAGGAGGGAGAGGCUAGGCGCGGUGGCUCAUGCCUGUAAUCCCAGCAUUUGGGGAGGCUGAGGCAGGCAGAUCAUGAAGUCAGGAGUUAGAGAUCAGCCUGGCCAACGUAGUGAAACCCCAUCUCUACUAAAAGUACAAAAAAUUAGCUGGUCGUGGUGGUGGGCACCUGUAAUUCCAGCUACUCAGGAGGCUGAGGCAGGAAAAUUGCUUGAACCCAGGAGGUGGAGGUUGCAGUGAGCUGAGAUCGCAUCAUUGCACUCCAGCUUGGGUGAUAGGAGUGAGACUCCAUCUCAAAAAAAAAAAAAAAAAAGAAGUUAGGAGGCAGCAUUAACAAUAAAAGAACUAUGACUGGACACAGUGGCUCAUGCCUGUAAUCCCAGCACUUUGGGAGGCCAAGGUGGGUGGAUCACUUGAGGUCAGGAGUUCGAGACCAGCCUGGCCAACAUGGUGAAACCCUGUCUCUACUAAAAAUACAAAAAUUAUCCGGGUGUGGUGGUGCGUUCCUGUAAUUCCAGCUACUUGGGAGGCUGAGGCACGAGAAUCACUGCCAGGAGGUGGAGGUUGCAGUAAGCCAAGAUCCAGCCAAUGCACUUCAGCCUGGGUGACAGAGCAAGACUCAGUCUCAAAAAAACAAAACAAAAAUAAGCAUUAUUAUCCUUAGAGAUAAUAAUUUCAGCUAAGAGAGAUUAAUUGACUAGCCCAAGGGCAUACAGCUAGUUGUGGUCUGGCUUGAAUUUCAGCACAGUUCUGCCUGCCUUCAAAUUUAGCACUUGUCCUAAAAUUCUAUAGUCAACUCUUAUUUUCAGAAGUAAUUUUACUCCUCAUAAUUUUCCCUAAUUCUUUGGUCCUCCAAGGCCUUUCAAGCCAGUUCCCAGCUCCUGAUAAUAGUAAAUACCUGAAAUAGCUAGCUUAUUAUUCUCCUGUGGGUGUUUUAAUUUUCAAAAUGUGGAAAAACCAAGGCAUGAAGCUUUGAAGGAGAAACUUCAUCCACUGGCUGUGGACAUGAGGAACUCAGAGUUCCUGGGAUCUCAACCCCAGUACCUACACUUAUGGGAAACCAUCACCCUCUCAGGAAGGCUUCCCUUGUCUAGAAACUUUUUUUUGAGGAAAUCCAAGAGUGUCUAAAUGGUAGAGGAUGCAGUAUGAACAGGCCUUUGGAACUCUAUCUGACUCGCAGGAUCCCACAAUUUUAGCACAGCCUCUUCCAAGCUGAACCUCUCACCAACUGCGUGAGGAACCGCGGGUUAGUUAUUUGGAAGGAAAGGUGGUAGAGAAGGACCAGGGGAAUUAAUAUUCAUUGAACAUAUGACAACGAUGGCAAAUAGAGUUUCUCUGCGUCAUGCAUUGAUAAGCACACAGAGUCAGCAUCCAUGUUCCAUUGGUAAUGUCUGCCCUCGGUGCGGGAGAGCAUCCAAGCUCACCUGGUAAUGUCUGCCCUGGGUGCAGGAGAGGACCUGGCAGGAUGGUUGCCAGCUCUCCAUCUUCUCUGGCUAUGAGCCAGGCACUUUACACCAUUAACCCCAAGUUCUCACAAUAACCUCUGAGGUGGGAGUUUCUUGUCUUAUUUUCUGGAGGAGGAAACUGAGGUUUAAAGAGCAUGUUACUUUCCCCUUAUAAAAGGUACUAGGUGGACAAGUCUUUAAUUUAAAAAAUAAAUAAAUAAGCAACAUAUCACCGCCACAAAAGCAGCAAUAUUGCUACAAUUUACUGAGGGCUUUCUACAUGCAAGACACUAUUUUUUUGUUUUUUUUGAGACGGAGUCUCACUCUGUUGCCAGGCUGGAGUGCAGUGGCAUGAUCUUGGCUCACUGCUUCCCAGAUUCAAGGGAUUCUCCUGCCUCAGCCUCCCGAGUAGCUGGGAUUACAGGCGUGUUCCACCAUGCCCAACUACUUUUUGUAUUUUUAGUAGAGAUGGGGUUUCACCAUGUUAGCUAGUAUGGUCUCGAUCUCUUGACCUCGUGAUCCACCUGCCUUGGCCUCCCAAAGUGCUAGGAUUACAGGCAUGAGCCACUGUGCCCAGACUUUAAAAAAAAUUUUUUAUUUCACUUUAAGUUCUGGGAUACAUGUGCAGAAUGUGCAGGUUUGUUACAGAGGUAAACACAUGGGUCAUGGUGGUUUGCUGCACCUAUCAACCCGUCACCUAGGCAUUAAGCCCUACACACAUAGCUAUUUUUCCUGAUGCUCUGCCUCCCCUCGCCCCACUGACAGGCCACAGUGUGUAUUGUUCCCUGCCCUGUGUCCAUGUGUUUUCAUUGUUCUGCUCCCACUUACGAGUGAGAACAUGUGGUGUUUGGUUUUCUGUUCCUGUGUUAGUUUGCUGAGGAUGAUGGCUUCCAGGUUCCUUCAUCUAUGUCCCUGCAAAGGACAUGAUCUCAUUCCUUUUUAUGGCUUCAUAGUAUUCCAUGGUGUAUACGUACCACAUUUUCUUUACCCAGUCUACCACUGAUGGGCAUUUAGGUUGAUUUCAUGUCUUUGCUAUUGUGAAUAGUGCUGCAAUAAACAUACGUGUGCAUAUAUCUUUAAAAUAGAAUGAUUUAUAUCCCUUUAGGUAUAUACCCAGUAAUGAGAUUGCUGGAUCAGGUGGAAUUUCUGGUUCUAGAUCCUUGAGGAAUCGCCACACUGUCUUCCACAAUAGUUGAGAACUAAUGUACAUUCCCGCCAACAGUGUAAAAGCAUUUCUAUUUCUCCACAGCCUUGCCAGCAUCUGUUUCUUGACUUUUUAAUAAUCACCAUUCUCACUGGUGUGAGACGGUGUCUCAUUGUGGUUUUGAUUUGCAUUUCUCUAAUGAUCGGUGAUGUUCGGCUUUUUUUCUUUUCUUUCUUUCUUUUUUUUUUUAAAUGGAGUCUUGCUCUUGUUACCCAGGCUGGAGUGCAAUGGGGAGAUUUCGGCUCACUGCAAACUCUGCCUCCUGGGUUCAAGUGAUUCUCCUGCCUCAGUCUCCCGAAUAGUUGGGAUUACAGGUGCCUGCCACCGUGCCCAGCUAAUUUUUUGUAGUUUUAGUAGAGACAGCAUUUCGCCAUGUUGACCAGGCUGGUCUCAAAUUCCUGACCUCAGGUGAUCCACCCGCCUCAGCCUCCCAAAAUGCUGGGAUUACAGGCAUGAGCCACCGUGCCUGGCCCCACUUUUUUUCAUGUUUCUUGGCCGCAUAAAUAAGACCCUGUAUUAAGCCUGUUGUAUGUAUUAUCUCCAUUCAUUUCCCAGAAGCUUGGUGAAGUAAUUUACCAUUUUACAGACCAUGCGGAAACAGAAGAGCCAAGUGUCGUGUUCAAUGUCACUGGUGCAUCAGAAGCAGAGCUGGGGUGAAAGCCAGAUGCAGCCGGCUCUAGGGCCUGGACUUCUGUUCCUUCCCACUGGUUUGUUUUCAUCCUGAGUCAUUGCUUGGUAGGGGAGGAUUCUGAGAAAGCAAUGAGGUAAACUAUGGCAAUACUGACUUACGCAUUUCUCAUAAAUCCCUCUGCGAGGAACAUGUCAUGGGGCUCCACACAUUGGGCUAUGAAGAGCGGGGUUGGCCUGUCCCUUUGUGGCAGCGGCCCCUCUUAGGCCUCUUCAGCACUCCGUCCCUGAGGGGACCCGCCCAUCCAGCCCUGGCCUUUCCUUCUCCUCUGGGUGAGUCAGAACUUUUUUUUAUUUUAUUUUAUUUUUUAUUUUUUAUUUUUUUUUUUGAGAUGGAGUCUUGCUCUGUCACCCAGGCUGGAAUGCAGUGGCACUAUCUCAGCUCACUGCAACCUCCACCUCCUGGGUUCAAGCAAUUCUCCUGCCUCAGCCUCCCAAAUAGCUGGGAUUACAGGCACGUGCCACCAUGCCCAGAUAAUUUUUUGUAUUUUUAGUAGAGAAGGGGUUUCACCAUGCUGGCCAGCCUGGUCUUGAACUCCUGACCUCAAGUGAUCUGCCCACCUCGGCCUCCCAAAGUGCUGGGAUUACAGGCGUGAGCCACUGCACCCACCCUGAGUCAGAAAUUUGUACAUAAGAAGGAAGUCUUGGGAGAAAUCCACAGUUGUUUUGUAUCCAGAACGUGAGGCAGCUUGGUGCUGUGAUGAGAGUGUUCCUUGCCACUGCUCCCGGUUGAGUGACCUUGAGUCAAUGUAGGUUUCUUUAUCUGAAAAGUGAGAGGGAUGGCCUAAGUGACUUCUAAGUGACUGAGCUGCUCUGAAUGUGUGUGAGAUGCCCGUGUCUGCGGACAGUCUCUGUAGUCUUUCUCAGACCUUGCUUCAUUCUCAUCCUCUUUCUCUCAGCUAAUCAGCUGUUCCAGUAUCUUACUAUAAAAUUUUUCUUUUUUUUUUUGAGAGAGAGAGAGUCUUGGUCUGUUGCUCAGGCUGGAGUGCAAUGGUGCGAUCUUGGCUCACGAUAACAUCCGCCUCCCAGGUCCAAGCGAUUUGCCUGUCUCAGCCUCCCAAGUAGCUGGGAUUACAGGCACCCGCCACCACGCCUGGCUAAUUUUUGUGUUUUUAGUAGAGACAGGAUUUUGCCAUGUUGGUCAGGCUGGUCUUGAACCCUUGACCUCAGGUGAUCUGCCCACAUUGGCCUCCAAAAAAGCUGGGAUUACAAGUGUGAGCCACCAUGACCAUCCUAAAAAUUUUCUUUUCUUUUCUUUUCUUUUCUUUUUUUUGAGAUGGAGUUUUGCUCUUGUCGCCCAGGCUGGAGUGCAAUGGCGUGGUCUCGGCUCACUGCAGCCUCUGCAUUUGGGUUCAAGCAAUUCUCCCACCUUAGCCUCCCAAGUAGCUGGGACUACAGGCAUGCACCACCACACCUAGCUAAUUUUGUAUUUUUAGUAGAGACGGGGUUUCUCCAUGUUGGUCAGGCUGGCCUCAAACUCCCGACCUCAGGUGAUCCGCCUGCCUCGGCCUCCCAAAGUGCUGGGAUUACAGGCAUGAGCCACCGAUUCUGGCCAAAAAUUUUCAAACAAGCAGCAAAGUUGAAUGAAUGUCCCAGGAAGCAGGCACAUGCCCCCACUCCCGUCCAGCUAGAUUCCAUCUGGCUUUCUCUCAGCUUGUUGCCCUGGUGGUCACUAAGGCAGAAAGGCCCCAAACAUAUUUCCCCUUGAGGACAUUGAGGGUGGAAUUCAGUCAGAACGCACCUUCUCCCUCCCACAACUCACAUCCCUCAUGCAUGCCCCAUGCCCUAAAUGCCUUUCUUUCUUUCUUUUUGUUUUUUAAACAGAGUCUCGCUCUGUCGCCCAGGCUGGAGUGUAGUGGCGCGAUCUCAGCUCACUGCAACCUCCACCUCCCGGGUUCAAGCGAUUCUCCUGCCUCAGCCUCCCGAAUAGCUGGGAUUUACAGACACGUGCCACCACACCCAGCUAAUUUUUUGUAUUUUUAGUAAAGACAGAGUUUCACCAUGUUGGCCAGGUUGGUUUUGAAUUCCUGACCUCAGGUGAUCCACUCGCCUUGGCCUCCCAAAGUGCUGUGAUUACAGGCGUGAGCCACCGCACCUGGCCGCCCUAACGUCUUUCUCUCUGUCUGUAGCCAUCUCUUCAGCCAUACACAUGCCCAUGCCCUGCUGUGGUGACCCUGGGCCAGACCCACGAUGCCCUGAUCACGAGAUGUCAGGGGGAAGGUGGCUUGUUGGGGUUGGGUGGUCCAGGUCAUUCAAGUAUCUCAAGAGGCCACUCUGUAGCAGGCACCAUUAUUUGUGUAACAUUUUUUCUCUCGGAGACACGCAAGUCAUACCUGGUUGUUGCAGAAACUUUGAAAAUUGUAGAAAAACCUAAUGAACAAUUGGAAAUCAUCCAUGAGCACUGCCAAGACAGCAGUAGCUAGGAUUUAUUGAGUACUUACUAUACAUUGGAUAUUGUGCUUGUUACAUGAUUUCCCCAGCAACCACACUCAGUAGGUAGGUAUUUAUCAUUAUAAUCUCCAAUUUGGGCCGGGCUCAGUGGCUUACACCUGUAAUCCCAACACUUUGGGAGGCCGAGGUGGGUGGAUCACCUGAGGUCAAGAGUUCGAGACCAGCCUGACCAACAUGGAGAAACUCCGUCUCUACUAAACAUACAAAAUUUGCCGGGCAUGGUGGCGCAUGCCUGUAAUCCCAGCUACUCGGGAGGCUGAGGUAGGAGAAUCGCUUGAACCCGGGAGGCAGAGGUUGCAGUGAACCAAGAUCGCACCAUUGCACUCCAACCUGGGCAACAAGAGCGAAACUCCAACUCAAAAAAAUAAAUAAAUAAAAUAAUCUCCAAUUUGCAGUUGAGGAAAUGAAGGCCCGGAGAAGUUAGGUGAUUUCUCAUGUCCACACAGCUGGGAAGGGGUGGAGCCAGGCUUCACACCCACCUGGUUCUAGUGGAUGCCUUUAGUCACCAUUCACCACUUCCCUGAUGCCUGUCACACAUGUUUUAGAUAUUUUCUGUGCAGUAACUUUUUUUUUAAGAUGGAGUUUCGCUCUUGUUGCCCCCAGGCUGGAGUGCAGUGGUGCAAUCUCGGCUCACUGCAACCUCCGCUCACUUCAAGUGAUUUUCCUGCCUCAGCCUCCCAAGUAGCUGAGAUUACAAGCAUGAGCCAGCUCGCUUGGCUAAUUUUUGUAUUUUUAGUAGAGAUGGGGUUUCACCAUGUUGGUGAGGCUGGUCUCGAACUCCUGACCUCAAGUGAUCCUCCUGCCUUGGCCUCCCAAAGUGCUGGGAUUACAGGCAUGAGCCACCACACCCCGCCUGCAAUUAUGUUAUUUUAUAACAACUUACUUCUUUCACUUACCCAUUUCUGGGACCAGGUGGGGUGGUUCAUGCCUACAAUCCCAGCACUUCGGGAGGCCAAGGCGGGUGGAUCGAUGGAGCCCAGGAGUUCAAGACCAGUCUGGGCAACAUGAUGAGACCUUAUCUCAAUCAAUCAAUCAAUCAAUAGCAGGGCAUGGUGGUGUGUACCUGUAGUCUACCCAGGAGGCUGAGGUGGGAGGAUGGCUUGAGCCUGGGGAGGUGGAGGCAAUAUUUAACCAUUUCUAUUUGCAUGUUAAUCUCCCCAAAUAACCCUAUGAAAUAGUUAUUAUUAUUUACAUUUACAGGUGAGAAAACUGAAGGCUACAGAAUUAAAAGACACGAAAACAAAGCUCAAAGAGUGAAAUGACUUGCCCAAGGGCAUGGGAAGCAGUGAGGGUGGGUUCAAAGGUCAGAAAGAGCGGACACCCCACCCCCUCCACCCCUGCCUUUCAUACUCGAGGUGGAGGCAAUCGUGUACAUAGGGUAGAGGAAGGCAAUGACAAAUACUUUUCUUCAGCCUUCCCUAAAUUAGAUCCCAUGUAGCUGGCAACUGAGGCCUGGCCUGCUUGCUUUCUCCUCCUCUCUGGAAGCCAGGGCUACUUUGUAUAGGGUCCGCAUGAAGCUGUUGCCUUCCAGAGGGGACACCUGCCUAUCUUGAGAUGGGGAGAGGUCACUUCCCAGCAGAGACCCUGUGCUCAGCCCAUGGAGGAUAAGAAGGUGCAGGGAAGGAAUUCCAGAGCUCUCUAGGCCUGGGGAAGCGCACAGCUGGACGCCCCUACUUGCCCGUGACCUUGUACAAAUCCUUCCUUUCUCUGAGUUUCAGUUUUCUUUUUUUUCUUUUCUUUUCUUUUUUUUUUUGAGAUGGAGUCUCGCUCUGUCGCCAGGCUGGAGUGCAGUGGCGAUCUUGGCUCACUGCAACCUCCGACUCCCAGGUUCAAGCGAUUCUCAUGUCUCAGCCUCCUGAGUAGCUGGGAUUACAGGCGCGUGCCACCACAUCCGGCUAAUUUUUGUAUUUUUAGUAGAGACGAGGUUUCACUGUGUUGGCCAGGAUGGUUUCGAUCUCUUGACCUUGUGAUC
Molecule: long non-coding RNA, 14226 nt
Filed under: Pongo abelii (Sumatran orangutan)
Lineage: Eukaryota; Metazoa; Chordata; Mammalia; Primates; Hominidae
Description: lincRNA
Rfam family: Metazoan signal recognition particle RNA (bases 3093-3209)
Source: RNAcentral